Colletotrichum higginsianum is the source of this 82-nucleotide non-coding RNA. The record is from Rfam. NCBI's taxonomy places the organism in Eukaryota, Fungi, Ascomycota, Sordariomycetes, Glomerellales, Glomerellaceae.
GCCUUGUUGGCUAAGUGGUAUAGCGUCUCACUAGUAUCCUGGUGWCAUGAGAAGAUCGGCGGUUCGAUUCCGCCACGAGGCA